AGUCUGCAGCCUGUGUUGAUCCGUGAGUGAACUUCCCCGUGUCCAUAUCCGGGCCGCGUUACACAGAUGCUCUUCCCUAUGUUCCCCAAGUUCCUGCUGAGCCCCGGAAGGAAGAAGACCCAGCAAUGUGUGCCCCCUGGCAGGGAUGAGGCUAUUUGACCAUUUGGGCGUGUUCAAAUCUGGAGGAAAUGUAAAAUCUUCACACUACAAAGAAGUUUUUAGGAAACACAUUUCAAAGCCAGAAGAUGAGCAAAGGCAUUCCUGUACCCAGACUGAGAUAACUUGCUGACAAGAUGAUAAAAGGUAGCAUGGUGUGUGUGCCUUGAUAAAACAGGAGCUUUACUUCCAAAGGUCUUACGCAGGCUGACGGCAGUCCUGGAGAAGAGAUCCAGCCUCGCUCCAGCGGGAUACACACGCAGAUUUUAAUCAGGAGCGACAGCUAUGGAGCAGAGCUGUGUGUGCAGCACCUCUGAGACCUGUGCUCCUGCUGGUGCUCACACUUGCAUGGAGGAGGAGGCACUGAAGACAAGAUCACCCAGUGUCUUUGCCAUAGCCCGGCCUGCAAAUCAGUCUGACAGCAGUAUCAGCUUCCAAGACUUCGUUAGAUUGACAUUCAUGAGCAGAAGAACCCUGAUCAGGCAGUGUGGAAACCUUCUGAAUGCAUGAGGAGGAAAGAAAUCACUGAGAGCAGUGAGAAUAAAGUAUGAGGCUUCAGACAGAGAGAAGAGGAGGAAAGGCACACGUCUGGAAGGCUGUUGGAAGUCUGCAAACUGAUGAUCAGGAAGAAGACGGGAAUGAAUAAGAGCAUAAGAAGAGAGACAAUGACCAGAAAAGAAAUGAUGGAAUAAAAGGUUCAGGAUGCCUAGAGACAAAUGAUAUGGAAAAAGGCCUCCAUGACAGGUCCCUACUGGCACUGACUGUACAAGCAGGAGGACACCUAGGCAGAAGGCGAGGACAGAGCUCCAUCCUCCCUGCACUUCCAGCGUGAGCCCUGUCCUGGGACCCAGAGAGCUUUGGGAACAGAGCCCCCGGCUUCUGAAG
Molecule: long non-coding RNA, 1041 nt
Organism: Lepidothrix coronata (blue-crowned manakin)
Lineage: Eukaryota; Metazoa; Chordata; Aves; Passeriformes; Pipridae
Exons: 10
Source: RefSeq, a predicted model, not a curated record